AAAGUAAAGGCCGAAAUUAUUUCUAAUCGAAAUUAAUUCAAUAAAUGUUUCCUAUAUAAAUAGAAAACAAAUACAAAAACAGAGUAAAAUUGGAAUUUUUGUACCUUUACUCAAUUGUUCCUAACUCCGGUAUUUAUCCAUAGAUUUUCUUCAACAAAAGCUCGAUCUCUUCGUAAAAGUGCGAUCUAUACGUAGACAAUAAGAAACUGGACGUAAUUUGACGAUUUCCAUUUUUCCAUGGCGAUGGAAGAAAUAUUCGUGUUCGAUUUUAGCCGAAAAAAUCAAACUUUCUCAUAUACAUUGGCUCGUAACACUUAAACUAUUGAAUCGAUUGGAAAAUAAUGUAAAAAACAAUGGUUGGAAAUUAGAUUACCUUUAAAAUGGCGUCUUGCGCGACUCAAUCGGACGUUUCUAACUCUAGAUAUGGGCUAAAAUGUGAACGUAUAUCAGAAAAAAAUCGAAAAAAAAAUUCAAAAAUUCAUAUAAAAAAAACCUAUCCAUAGAAAAAUUUUUUCUUCCGAUUUUCGAGUGUAGUAGGCCAAAAUACAUAAGAAAAAAAUUGUGACAUUGAAUGUAGAUUUUUUCUUUCUUUUUUUAUUUUGUAAACUAGUGUUAUUUUCUUUUAGAAAACAAUGUUAAAAUACAAGUGGACAAGAAUGUACAUUAAUGGGGUUUGAAGAGGUGAGAAAUGGGGAAAAUAUCCGGUCACGGAGAUGAUCGAACGGAGAGGAACGUGCGGAUCAGGACCGACGGCGGAGUGGGGAUAGUCCGGUUCCACGCGUCUCUGUAAGCGAACGGCCAAGCAGUCCGUAGCGACGCGUCCCGGGCGCAGGUCGCUAUCAUGGUUUUCGUACGGUUUGACGGUGAUCGGCUCGGUGCCGUGGUGCAUUAUGGUUUCGCGAUUCUCUAUCUACUAUUUGUUUUCGUGCCGCGCCCCGUCACUUGCCAGGAAACCCUUACCAAUCGGAUGCGCGUGAUCAGCGAGGAUCUGGACCGGCAGCUGAACGGAAUCAUGGCCUCGCAGGGUCUCACUUACUCGACGGUGAACACGUCCGCGGUGCCCUACAAAGCCACCACGGAGUUCGACGCCAAGGGCAUGGCCCAGCUGUACAACGUGACCAACACGUUCAUCGACUUCGUACAAAGCAAGCAAGCGUAUCCGGAGGGAAUGUUCACCGUUGUAGAUGGAAAGCCAGUGUUUAAAUAUACAUUGACCCAGUGGCAGACCAUCGUGGUACAUUAUGGUGGACUGGCCGGUCUAGCUCUCAUUGGGCUCCUUCUGGCAGCGAUUUUACCCUGCGUGGGGUUGUUUUUCUGCUGCUGCAGAUGCGCUGGUCAUUGCGGUGCUAGGAGUCAACCAUUCGACAAGAAGCACGAUCACUGCAGAAAGGUGAUAAUCAGCAUGGUGCUCAUAGGGGUUGCUACUAUUAUAUUGUUUGGUGUCGUCUGCGCGUUUGUCACGAACGAGUACAUGCAGGAUGGUACGAAAGAGCUGCCCAAUAAUCUCAAAACCAACCUGAACGAUGUAAAACUGUACUUGAACACUACGAAGGAACAGAUCAACAAAAUUCUGAAAACCAAUUUUGACGAGUUGGAGAUCAACCUGAACAACAUCCUCCAAGCCAGCGGGAGAAUAGUCACAGAACAGCUCGCCGAGUACUCCCACGCAGUCUCGCUGACUAAUCUCAGUGACAUCGUAGCUGGUUUGGAGUCUAUCAAAGAGGACCUGAAUACCAUGCAGACCAUCACGCGGGAUCUACGGACCAAUGCUAGUCAUUUAGACAACGCUGUACGAGGUGUUAAAAACAAUCUCCUCCACACGCUCGCGGCGUGCAAGACCCAGAAUUGCAAGCAGGUCCUGCACGAUUACAAAGUGAACCAGAUGUCGGUUAAGAUAGACUUCGACAAGUACAUGGACCGAUACUUCCCGAAGUUGCCAGAUGUCACCUCUGCCUUGUACAAUAUCACCAUGUUGAUGAGGGGCAACAUCGUGUCAGAAGUCAGCCAGGGUAAGGAGUCAUUUCUGAAAAUACAGAAAGACAUUCAGUACGCGGUGAAUCAGACCAUUCCCACGGUCAGCGCAAGCAUCAGAAACGUUGGAGGCUUCUCAGCUGCUCUUGCAAACAACAUAACAGCUCUCCUCGAUAGGAUAUAUGUUGACGUAGACAGGGUUUACAUCCGGCAUGUGGAUAUUGCUCGAACAAACAUUGAUCGGUACUCGCCAUACAGGUACUACCUGGGUCUAGGUAUAUCUGGAGUUGUGUUGACCGUUCUGAUGUGUUUGACUUUUGGCCUAUUUUGUGGAAUUUGUGGAAAACGGCCCGACGGUUAUGGUGACGAUUGCUGCAACAAAGGAUCCGGAGCACGAUUUUUGAUGAUGGCUGUUUGGAUCAUUUUCCUUCUGACGAGCGUCCUAAUGGUGAUCACCGUGGUGCACAUGGUCACUGGUGUCCUGAUGCAACGUGCAGUCUGCGAACCUUUAAAGAAUCCCAACGACAACAGAAUGUUCGCUCUGGUCGAUGAAAUCGUUCAGGUCAAGAAAGUACUGUACCCCAUCUCCGACGUGAACAUGAGCUACAUUGUUACACAGUGCCACCUGAACGAGUCGCUGUACACUGUGCUGAAUCUGGAGCACCGCUACGAUGUGAAUGCACUACGGGAUUACGCCGGGCGCUACGACAUCAACAACACUAUCCAGCAUCUGCGUCGCAAAAUUAAUCUGUCUCCAGACGUGGUGAUUCUCACGGGAAGUGCCAAGUUGAAGCUCAACGAUCUCGCGCAGAGCGGGCUCAGCGACAUCAAGUUCUAUCAGUACGCCGAGAUCCUCGCCGAGAACAUCACCAACAUCAAUUUGGAACAUUUGGCAAAACAACUGCGGGAAGUAGCCGCCAAGUUGCCCGAAGACCAGGAGGUUAUUCGCCUUAGCCUGGAGAAGAACGCGAACGAUCUGGAGCAGUAUCAUAGAGACCUGGUGAUACCGAUGGCGACACUUAGCGAACAAUUGAGCGAGAAAGCGUUGACGCUUCAGGAGAAUAUUAAUUUCAAUCAUAGCUCGAUGGCGGAAGCCAUUCACGACCUCGUCGAAGAAGUUACAAAGGCGCAAACGUUUCUGAACAAAGACGGACCAGAAUAUGUCCAACAUCUAGCAACCAGGUUCGGAAACGCUUUUCUUCGCCAAAUUGAUGACUACCUCGAUUACGUCAGCGUAAGUGCUUUGAAAGAUGUUGGAAGAUGUGCUCCUGUUUCAAACGCUUACAACGCUACUCUGGUCGCCGGUUGCAAUAAGAUUCUGGAUCCAUUUAAUGGUUUCUGGGUGAGUGUCGGAUGGUGCUUAAUCCUCUUCAUUCCAACCAUAGUGCUCUGCGUGAAACUGAGCGCGCUGUAUCAGAAAUCGGACCCGUACCCAGGACCCCUAGUCGAAGCUGAAUAUUUGUAUGACGCGUACGCAGACAGGGAUAACAUACCCCUUGCUCAUGUUCAUGACAAGAAAUACGUAUCUCAAAGCAGACAUCAUCCAUCGGCAUAUGUCGAGAGCUAUGACGGCCCUGCGGUCGGAUACGAGCGGGAAAGGAUCUCUGACGCGCAUCAAAGCACGUCUCACCAUGACUCCAGAUACUCUGAUUUGGCGCCGAAGUGAGUGGGAACCUUGCGGGGGGGCAACUUCCCGCGUCUCUCGAUACGCCUCUGCACGUAAGUCGCAAGACAGAUUGUUAUCAAAUACGUCUUCGUUUUUAUUAGUUCCUAUUUCUUUCUUUUCUUUCUUUUUUUUUUUUUUUAAAUUCAUUUACUUACCUUUUUUUUUGUUCAAUUUCUUUGCGUCGCAGGCAAAAUAGCUUUGCUAGAGCUUUUACGAGUCGGUUACUACAAGCUGGAAGAAAUUCGCGUGGCAUCAACAGUUACCCUACACGCCAUCGCAAAUACGAAUUGUGUUAGACGAUAUAAGACCUGAAUAGAGCAUGUUUUCGAGUUUCGAGUCAUCGUUUUAUCAAAGGAAGUCACAGAUACAAAAUUAACUUCGUUUUUGCUUCGGCAGCUUCGUCAUUUGUUUGUUCGCUAAGGCAUACAUGCUGUGGCAAAGACACUACGUUCGAUGUUGACGACUUUUAUCUUGUACUCUUUUUUCUUUGUGUUCGUACUUUUUUUUUUCUCGUUCGAUACGUCUGACGAAGGAUAGAGUAUAAGUUGUACAAAGGAAAAUGUAUUUUGUGAUUUGUUAACGCGAUAGUGUUGGUUGCAGAAAUUGGGACUUCCCUAAUGGUGGUCCUCCUAGGUACCAGCCGGCUGCCGUGGCUCCUCCGCCGCUGAGCACAGAAUACGAACGACCACCUCCUUACUAUUAUCCUGGGCCAGGGGACAGAAAUUAGGAAACAAGUGCCGUGGCAUGCACAAAGGUAGCGCUGAGUAGCGUAGCUACUCAUAGUCUCACCCGCAGUUACAGAAGGACGCUCAAAAAGAAAGAGAAAUUCAGAUGCAAACGGGACUACGUUUAAUCGCAGCGUUCCUGAUGGGCGUGCCACGGACCGUGCAAACGGCAAAAUCAAUUAAAGACCAAGUUUGAUACAGACUGAGGUAGACUAAAUGGAACCCUUCGGCGAGCGCGAGUAAUGUGAUCUACGUGUGCGAUUCGUUUAACUUUAGUAUUAUUUAAAAACCAAGCGUUACAACGAGAGAAACGUUCACGUUGCGGGAACAGUUUCAAUCGUGCUGUCACCUUUUCUUCGGUUUCCCCUCCUAAUUGUUUAUUGUUCAUUAUUUUUUUUUUUUUUUAUUAUUUUUUUUUAUUACAAGACGAUCUGUAAUGUAGCGAUGAUUUUCAUCGUUUGUGCUAUAUUAAUUGAUUCCUUCACAUGACUGAUCGUUUAUCGCCCUUUUCUUCAACAUUUAAUCUUUCUUCUGUUAAUUGCCAUUGCGACCAAGUGUUCUAUCCUUGAUCUACGAUACGUCUUCAAGCUUUUGCGUGUAUUACUCGUUACAAACAUUGACUGGCAACUGCCGAAGACGUGCCGAAUGUUAUCGUCGUUUAUUUUUAUUAAAACAAAGUGUUUUUUUUAAA
Molecule: RNA transcript, 5053 nt
Organism: Hylaeus anthracinus
Lineage: Eukaryota; Metazoa; Arthropoda; Insecta; Hymenoptera; Colletidae
Gene name: prominin-like protein
Exons: 15
Source: RefSeq, a predicted model, not a curated record